UACAGAGGUCCCAAGCGUUGUUCGGAUUCACUGGGCGUAAAGGGUGCGUAGGUGGUUGGGUAAGUUUGGUGUGAAAUCUCCGAGCUCAACUCGGAAACGGCACUAAAAACUGCCUGGCUGGAGGGUCGGAAAGGAGACUGGAAUUCUCGGUGUAGCGGUGAAAUGCGUAGAUAUCGAGAGGAACGCCAGUGGCGAAAGCGAGUCUCUGGACGACUCCUGACACUGAGGCGCGAAAGCUAGGGGAGCAAACAGG
RNAcentral lists this ribosomal RNA (253 nucleotides) under uncultured bacterium. Its description in RNAcentral is "partial 16S ribosomal RNA". It matches the Rfam family "Bacterial small subunit ribosomal RNA", at positions 524 to 776 of the family's 1533-position model. The record is from RNAcentral.